AGCAUGGCUAGUGGGGAGAUCCUCAGAAUAGCUCCAGAGCUUUGGGAAAAGAGGCAAUAUCUGAAUGACGUCAGACUGAGGAAGGAACGCCUCAUGAAAACAACUUUAGAAUGGAAGAAAAGGCUUCACUAUUAAGUUUUACUGUCAACCUUCUGAAAAUUCCAUCAGCAGAGGGAAAGCCCCACCAAGUCUCCCAAAGCAGGUGUCACUCACUGAAAGUUUUCUCCAUUUCUUCACAACGCCGCAAUUCGCCCACAAAGCGCCGCUGGAAGGCACUGACAUGAGGAUUCAGCUGGAAAUAGAAGAGGCUUAUUGAGAAGCUUAUGAGGGUCUGGUUAAAGAUAGAGCUGAUGCUUUAGCCAUCCCAAAACCAGGCACCAAAAUUUUUAAUGCACCACAUCAAGAUCUGCUCAAUAAAACACCCUCCUUUUAGCCUCAAA
This is a non-coding RNA of Pantherophis guttatus, 440 nucleotides long. The record is from RefSeq and is a predicted model, not a curated record. Lineage: Eukaryota; Metazoa; Chordata; Lepidosauria; Squamata; Colubridae.